GUAAAUCGAGGCUGGUUCAAACGAAACGAACAUUGACAUUGAAUAAUCAUUUUUUCCCUUCACAUAAUCACAAUUGGCAUCACUCGAUCUACAUCCAUAAUAUUACUCAUGAUCAUUAAGAAGAAAAAAGCAGUUUAAGAUUAUUUGGUACAAGGUUUAUUAAUUUAGAUGAUUCGCUCGUAUAAAGAUUGUGAACAGUGAAAGCAAAAAACAGCAACAACAAGGAAUAGGAAGAAAGAUGGAAAAGUUCAACUUAAUCAUGAUUUUUUGUUAACUCGAAUUAUUAUAUGCCAUUAAGAAUCUAUUGAUUUGUUUGGCUAUAUAAUGAUUGGUUUGGCAUUCUUCUCAUCAUUAAUAACAACAAUUAUCUUCAUUAUGAUUACCAUUUCAGUCAAUUCAAUGAAAGCUAAAUUGAAGCGAAUUACAAGUUUUCGAAACUGUCCACUCGAUUAUUCCUUUUAUCCUUAUUUAUUGACGAUAACCUCGAUUUCCUUGUAAUUUGUGUAUUUUACCACCAAUCAACGAAUCGAUUUGUUUUCUUGUUUUUUUUAUAUUUAUCAAUUGUAUCUUAAUUGAAUUAAAGGAGAUACUGAAAAGGUAAAAUGGCUUAACUUUCCACCAGUAAACCGGAUAAUCAGGAAGACUAAAAACCUUAUUCUGAUAUGUUGAUUAAACAGUUAAAUUGAACUUGAUAUUUUCAUUUUUUCUUCUCCUUUCUUUAAUCUGCUUUUUUUGCUUCACAAUUUGUGUCUCUUUUAAUCAUCAUUAUAAUCAAUUUACCAUUAAAAUUAUGCUUUCCAAUAAACAAGAAAAAAAAGUGAAAGUUACAGCAAUCCUUUAUAAACAACAUCAUUGAUUAUCAAUGGACUACACUUUAAACAUUUACAGCUAAUUUGAUAAUUGUCAUUUGAUCUGACUAUUUCAUGUAAUCUGAGAGGCUUCAGAGUCUUGUCUAUCUGUUUCCUGAUUGAGUAAUAUACAUCAUCAAUUGAUACCAGAUUCAUUUGGUAUUGAUGGCAAACAUUAUGGCAAACAUUAACAUUGAUCUUAUUUUCAAUUUCCGAGCUUGGGUUGAAUUUGAAGUUAUUAGCAAGAAAUUAAGGUUAAAAUUAUUAUUUAAACACAAUUUAUCUCAAAAAUUAGGGUCAAUUAAAGCUAUUUAUUGAAAAUUAGACUCAAAAUAUGGUUAAAUACAAUAAUUGACCAAAUUUCAAUAUUGAGUUAACUUGGUAAGGUUUGGCGGGUAAGGCACAAAGUAAUAUCAUUAGAUAUAUUAAUUAAUAUUACAAAAAGGUUUCAUUCCAAUCAGUGUUUAAUCAUUGAAAUACUCGGUGUUUGUUAAUCAUGAUAAAAUGUUGCUGUUACCAGUCAACGUUGACAUUAAAAAAGGUUAGAAACAGGUAAAAGCCAAACAGCAAGUUUAUACCGCAAAAUGUUAUAACCUUAAGCUAUAAACAAAGUUGCGAUAAAUAUUAAAAAAAAGUUGAUGAUUAACUUGAUUAAAGUGAAAUUAACUUUGAUUGGUAAGUGAAAGUAAUAGAUGCACAGCAAAUAUAUACUCAUAUGUAAAUGUAAAAAAACAAAUAUGGCGAUAAGGAGAGUAUUGACUUGAAAGGGUAAAACAGUGCUUCAACAAUUGAGAUUUACAGGACUAAAUGAACAUUGCUAUUCUGAAUGGACCGAGGAAAAGGAGGGAAAAGAGAGAGAGAAGAGAGUAAAGAUGAAGAUGAGGAUAAAUAUGAGUGAAUGGAUGAGAUGAAAUGUUACGUGUUAUUGAAACGAUCCGAAACUUGACCUACUCCCACAAAGGACAAAAUAAUUUUAAUAUUCACUUCCGUGGUUACCAUUCACUUUGAAAUUUUUCUUCCUCCUCUUUUCGUCUUUAAAUCUCUUCUCUUCUCGCAUUUUGUUUUUUUACCUCCUCUCCUUGAGAGAGGAAAGGUAAAGGUGAAACAAAAGUGUCACCAAAAAAGGGUGAAGAUGCCAAUUAAGAAAACAUUUUGUUUUUAAUAUUCUCGUAUGUGUUUGUUGUUGGCGUAUUUGUUUCAAUUUAAAGUUGGUUGUUGACAAAAGGUAUCAUUGGGUUGUGAAGAGGACAUAUCAAAAUGGUUUUUAUCAAGAUAUUGAUAAUUAUUGUUGUAAGCCAAAAGGAACAGGUGAA
Molecule: non-coding RNA, 2161 nt
Organism: Tetranychus urticae (two-spotted spider mite)
Lineage: Eukaryota; Metazoa; Arthropoda; Arachnida; Trombidiformes; Tetranychidae
Source: RefSeq, a predicted model, not a curated record